AUCUCUGGCCAUUCGGCGGGGCGGAUGACUGCAGCGACCUUGUAGGUAGGCUGUCUGUAGCAUCGGGCUUCAAGGGAUGCGGCAGGGAACCGGAGUUAGAGGUAUAUGAGCACUUUGAAAGCAGAACACCAUUGUUUCCAUGAUUCAGUCAUUCAGAAUUUAUGAAGAAACAGUUCUUGCCUUUGAUUGACUUAUAGUCAAGUGGAGUAGACAUAGGUCAUGGUGGCAGUAUAGCUACUUAAGUAUUCUGAAGGAGGUGAGUGUGUGGCACUUAACUCAGCCUGAGAGAGAAAAAAUUAGGCAGAGCUUCUAAGAAGUGACUUUUAUACAGGCAUUUAUACAGGUGGACAAGGAUCAGGGAGGGUCAUUCCAGAUUUCCAGGAAUCUGUGGCUGAAUUCUAAAUUGUACAGAAGACACUGCCACAUGUUUUUCCCGGAGCAUUAGCCUUAUUUUUGGAUCAUGCUUCUCUNCCCCGUAACUGGAUGGGUAUUUGGGAUAUGAAAGGAAGUCAGAGGGUGGUAAAUCUUUCUGAGUGGCAGAAUAAUAGGAUGGCUUUACCAAGAAGCAAUGUAUGUACUCAGUAAAUCCUUUUUUAAAACUUAGUUUCUUGUUUUUUUUAAUUGCUUGGUUGGGAACCUUCAUUUUUUUGUUUGGUUUUUUCCCAGUGCAUGGAUUAUAUUCUUGUCUCCGGUUCAGUCUUUUUGAAUAUAAGGACAUUUAAGCUUAGGAAUGAGCACGGGGGAGACGGCAAGAUUAGAAUCCAAGUUCAUACUACAAAAGCAUUUUUGUUGGCUCUGUCUGGGUGACUGCAUGUUGUUUUAAUCAGCUGCAAGCUGUUAAAUUGAAUUUGCAUAGCUCACAUAAAGGACAGUUUAAUUCCACCAGGAUUUGAGUGAGGUGGAAAUAGAGCAGAAAAACCUGAAUCUGUCAAACUGGGGAAAAUGAAGAAAAGGCAAUCAAUUAGUAAGUUGGGCUUAAUGUUUUUUUCUGGGAUUGGGGAAUUGCAGAAAAGAACCUCUGUAGUAGUAAGACGUGAACUGUUAAGUAGCAUUUCUAAAAUAUUUGGGAGCAUUUUACUGACUUGGGGCAUAGUUGUGCCUUAUGAUUAAUGCUCCUUGCAGGAGACUUCCUAAUGGACAGAAAAGAUGGUGACUGGGUGGACUCUUUCCAAAUCACAAAGUGUUAUCUUGCAUUUAGGUUCAUUGACCAUUGGUUGCUGUGAAGGAACCAUAUGUAAGAGUUCAAAUUUCUUAAAGCUUUAAGUUAUAAAAGUAAUAAAUGACCGUUCCCUCAGUAUCUUGACAUGCUAGAAGACAGUGUUCUAAAAGCUGGACUUGUCAUGUUCUUCUGGAGACUAACAAAAUAAGAGUCCUUGAAGUCAAGCUGACUCUGCUUUUAGCCUCCUACAUGAAAAGGUAGAUAGAACAGGUCUUGUGUGCAAAAUGAAUUCAAGACCUACUUAUCUACCAACAGCAAUAACAGUUUGUAUCAUCUUCCUGUAGAAAACAGGAGUAGUAAAUACAGAGAUGAGUGAGGGUGAAGACUUAGCGAACCCAUGAGACUCUUACUGUUAAUUUAUAGGAAAGCAAUUGGACAUUGGAGAGGUUGGUUAGGAAAGCGGAGGAGAGGACCUUUCCUGUAGUGCAGGCUUCAGCACAUCCAGGAAGUCUCCGGAUGGCUAAACCUCCUUGGAUGGAGACCAGCAUAGUGUUGUUUACAGAAUGCUGCAUCAUGGUGAAUCGUGCUGGGGGCAGCUGUCAGUGUGUGAGCCAUGUAAGGUUUUCACAUGUGCUGGAAGAUGGAAAGAGCAGACUGAUGACCAAGUACAAGCUUCAGAAAUAUUUUAUUAGACGUGUACAAGUGCUUGCAAACUGUUGUUUGAAUCAACAGGAAGUCAGUUAUUAAACAUAAUACUUCUCCAAAGAAAAGGUGAUUCAGUUUUACUAGAAACCAGUGUCAUUUUAUAUCCCAAGUCUUUAACCAACUUUGCAAUCUCAUCUAAUAAGGGUGCCUUAGGUUCUGAGUGUUCUAAAUCUCUGUUAGUCUACACCAGGAUUCUAUGGCGGUUUACAUAUUCCCUUUCCCCUUUGUUAAGGUGGGGAGGCCAAAGCUUAUGUUAAUUACUUGCUCAAGGGUUAUAGGGUGAUAUAGGUAAAGCUAAGAAAAGAACAGAUUUUGAUACCUUUUGUCUUAAUUGCCCAUUAUGAAGGAUUGUGGCUACAGUGGUCUGAUUUUUUUUUUUUUUUAUCUUUUUCUGUUUUGUUUAACAGAUUUAUCAGCAGGUUGCAGGUGAACCUGGCCUUGAGGUAAAUCCUGCCCCUUGUUGAAAUGUAGUUUCAGCAUAUAGUUCUUGGCACUUUAAGGAAUUAGAAUAUUUUACAAAAAAAACAAAAGUUUUGUUUUGGUUCUUUUCUAGACUUUUUUUUUUUCCUUGUAGAAGAUGAGAAACAUGUUAAAGGUUCUUUAUGCUGAGUAAUUGUGAUGCUGGAAGUUGGUCAUCUGCCUUGUUUAAAUUAAGUGGAUUUUAAAUGUCAAAGCUAAUUGUAGACCAUUGUUUCUUGAUUAAAAUCUUAUUAAAACCUUAUACGUGCCUA
This is a non-coding RNA of Odocoileus virginianus texanus, 2595 nucleotides long. The record is from RefSeq and is a predicted model, not a curated record. NCBI's taxonomy places the organism in Eukaryota, Metazoa, Chordata, Mammalia, Artiodactyla, Cervidae.